CGGCUUAUAGCUCAACGGCAGAGCGCCAUCCGUGGAGGGUGGAGGUGUGGGUUCGAAUCCCACGAAGCCGA
RNAcentral lists this transfer RNA (71 nucleotides) under Kribbella sp. CA-293567. RNAcentral describes it as "tRNA-Pro". It matches the Rfam family "tRNA". From Rfam's summary of the family: Transfer RNA (tRNA) molecules are approximately 80 nucleotides in length. Their secondary structure includes four short double-helical elements and three loops (D, anti-codon, and T loops). Lineage: Bacteria; Bacillati; Actinomycetota; Actinomycetes; Propionibacteriales; Kribbellaceae. The record is from RNAcentral.